CCUACGGGAGGCUGCAGUGAGGAAUAUUGGUCAAUGGGAGAGAUCCUGAACCAGCCAAGCCGCGUGAGGGAAGACGGCCCUAUGGGUUGUAAACCUCUUUUGUCGGAGAACAAAACCCGGGACGUGUCCCGGACUGCGUGUAUCCGAAGAAAAAGCAUCGGCUAACUCCGUGCCAGCAGCCGCGGUAAUACGGAGGAUGCGAGCGUUAUCCGGAUGUAUUGGGUUUAAAGGGUGCGUAGGCGGGCCGUUGAGCCAGCGGUAAAAGUGCGGGGCUCAACCCCGUCGAGCCGUUGAAACUGGCAGACUUGAGUUGGCGAGAAGUACGCGGAAUGCGCGGUGUAGCGGUGAAAUGCGUAGAUAUCGCGAAGAACUCCGAUUGCGAAGGCGGCGUACCGGCGCCAGACUGACGCUGAGGCACGAAAGCGUGGGGAUCGAACAGGAUUAGAUACCCCUGUAGUC
This 459-nucleotide ribosomal RNA is filed under the name uncultured bacterium. RNAcentral describes it as "partial 16S ribosomal RNA". It matches the Rfam family "Bacterial small subunit ribosomal RNA", at positions 338 to 795 of the family's 1533-position model. The record is from RNAcentral.